Molecule: ribosomal RNA, 465 nt
Filed under: Vreelandella stevensii
Lineage: Bacteria; Pseudomonadati; Pseudomonadota; Gammaproteobacteria; Oceanospirillales; Halomonadaceae
Description: partial 16S ribosomal RNA
Rfam family: Bacterial small subunit ribosomal RNA
Source: RNAcentral
CCUACGGGGUGCUGCAGUGGGGAAUAUUGGACAAUGGGCGAAAGCCUGAUCCAGCCAUGCCGCGUGUGUGAAGAAGGCCUUCGGGUUGUAAAGCACUUUCAGUGGGGAAGAAAGCCUUGGGGCUAAUACCCUCGAGGAAGGACAUCACCCACAGAAGAAGCACCGGCUAACUCCGUGCCAGCAGCCGCGGUAAUACGGAGGGUGCGAGCGUUAAUCGGAAUUACUGGGCGUAAAGCGCGCGUAGGCGGUCUGAUAAGCCGGUUGUGAAAGCCCCGGGCUCAACCUGGGAACGGCAUCCGGAACUGUCAGGCUAGAGUGCAGGAGAGGAAGGUAGAAUUCCCGGUGUAGCGGUGAAAUGCGUAGAGAUCGGGAGGAAUACCAGUGGCGAAGGCGGCCUUCUGGACUGACACUGACGCUGAGGUGCGAAAGCGUGGGUAGCAAACAGGAUUAGAUACCCCUGUAGUC